CUGGUUUCCAUACAUCCUUGUCGUUGUAUUGUUGGCCGUCCAACGAGCAGCUGCCGAAACCGCCUACAAAGGAGACCCAAGGUGGAGGAGUCAUUCAACAUAAUGCUGUAAAUGUCAAGAUUCAGACUGGUGGUUGGUGGCAGAAUGUGGAAACGGACUGGACCAGAGAUUCAACAGUCCUUUAUGGCCUGCUCGGACAACCUUUUUCUCACAAGUGCUGCUAAAAACAAACUGCUAGCACAAUUAAAAAUUACAACAUUUAUCUGCAUAAAAAAUAAAUAGAACAGGAUUCCUUUUCUUAUAUAUUUUAUUAAACAAAAUGUUUUUCCGAUAGAAACUACUUCCUUAUGGAUCCAUCAGUGCUACUUCUUGUUGGAGUUUUUGUUUGUAGGCAGGAAGCAGGAGAAUAAAGUUUUGGUCUGAUUUGCCUUAGGGAGGGUGGGGGAGGGUCUGAUUUACCUUAGGGAGGGAGGGGGAACAGCCUUGUAUACAUCGUUGUGAGUGAAAGUAAAAGUAAUCCAGAGUUUUUUUUUCACCUCCAGAUGCGCAUAUUACAUGUUGGUUAAGAUGCACUUAAACAGAUUACAGUUUCCCUGCAUUAAAGUCACCGGCCAUGAGUAACACCUCUGAGUGUCCAUUUUCUAGUGUGUACUUAUGGAUCUAUACAGCUCCGUGAGUGCAGGCUUAGGGCCAGCAUUGGUUUGUGGUGAGAUGUUAUUGUGAAUGUAGGAUGCCCAGGAAAUGAUGGGUUGAUAUGUCCACUUUGAUCUGUUAACAUUUAAAAUGAUAUUCGGGUGAUGUAUGAAUUGCCUGCUGUUUGUAAAAAAUAGACGUGUGUGUAAAGAGAGACAUUUUAUGGAAAUGUGAAGAUUACUGAAGACACUGCCUCACUUGACAACAUGUCUGCAAAAGCAUUGCGGCCCCUAGCUUCUCCAGUUAAUUGUUUCAGUUCAUGUAAAUAAACCAAAUUAAGGGUAAUUCCUCAACAAAAUAAGCUCAGAUUUUCAAAUGUUUUUUUAUCUGUAAUGUCAAACCUUAUCUCCACCCUGAAGAAAAGAAUCACAGAGCAUUCCUCUCCAAGCCUCUGAGCUACACUGUUGCAAGCAGCAAUAAAGCAUCUUGCUCUGUC
Esox lucius (northern pike) is the source of this 1129-nucleotide long non-coding RNA. RefSeq lists it as uncharacterized. The transcript is spliced from 3 exons. The record is from RefSeq and is a predicted model, not a curated record. NCBI's taxonomy places the organism in Eukaryota, Metazoa, Chordata, Actinopteri, Esociformes, Esocidae.